GCGUUGUUCGGAUUUACUGGGCGUAAAGGGCGCGUAGGUGGCGUGACAAGUCAAUUGUGAAAUCCCCGGGCUUAACUCGGGACGGGCAAUUGAUACUGUUGUGCUAGAGUACAGAAGGGGCAAUCGGAAUUCUUGGUGUAGCGGUGAAAUGCGUAGAUAUCGAGAGGAACACCUGAGGUGAAGACGGGUUGCUGGGCUGAUACUGACGCUGAGGCGCGAAAGCUAG
This 226-nucleotide ribosomal RNA is filed under the name uncultured bacterium. RNAcentral describes it as "partial 16S ribosomal RNA". It matches the Rfam family "Bacterial small subunit ribosomal RNA", at positions 538 to 763 of the family's 1533-position model. The record is from RNAcentral.